Molecule: ribosomal RNA, 497 nt
Filed under: uncultured bacterium
Lineage: Bacteria
Description: partial 16S ribosomal RNA
Rfam family: Bacterial small subunit ribosomal RNA
Source: RNAcentral
GAUGAACGCUGGCGGCGUGCCUAAUACAUGCAAGUCGAGCGAACAGACGAGGAGCUUGCUCCUCUGACGUUAGCGGCGGACGGGUGAGUAACACGUGGAUAACCUACCUAUAAGACUGGGAUAACUUCGGGAAACCGGAGCUAAUACCGGAUAAUAUAUUGAACCGCAUGGUUCAAUAGUGAAAGACGGUUUUGCUGUCACUUAUAGAUGGAUCCGCGCCGCAUUAGCUAGUUGGUAAGGUAACGGCUUACCAAGGCAACGAUGCGUAGCCGAACUCAGAGGGUGAUAGGCCACCCUGGAGGUGGGACACGGACAAGACUCCUACGGGAGGCAGCAGUAGGGAAUCUUCCGCAAUGGGCGAGAGCCUGACGGAGCAAGGCCGCGUGAGUGAUGAAGGUCUUCGGAUCGUAAAGCUCUGUUAUUGGUGAAAAACAAAUGUGUAAGUAACUAUGCACGUCUUGACGGUAACUAAUCAGAAAGCCACGGCUAACUACGUG